RNAcentral lists this ribosomal RNA (380 nucleotides) under uncultured eukaryote. Its description in RNAcentral is "partial 18S ribosomal RNA". It matches the Rfam family "Eukaryotic small subunit ribosomal RNA", at positions 592 to 976 of the family's 1831-position model. The record is from RNAcentral.
CAAUAGCGUAUAUUAAAGUUGUUGCAGUUAAAAAGCUCGUAGUUGGAUUUGUGGUGUACUUUGGCGGCCCGUCACACUGUGAUGGAGCUUGCUGAAGUCGCCAUCCUUGGGUGGAUCCUGUGUGGCAUUAAGUUGUCGUGCAGGGGAUGCCCAUCGUUUACUGUGAAAAAAUUAGAGUGUUCAAAGCAGGCUUAUGCCGUUGAAUAUAUUAGCAUGGAAUAAUAAGAUAGGACCUUGGUACUAUUUUGUUGGUUUGCGCACCAAGGUAAUGAUUAAUAGGGACAGUUGGGGGUAUUCGUAUUUCAUUGUCAGAGGUGAAAUUCUUGGAUUUUUGAAAGACGAACUACUGCGAAAGCAUUUACCAAGGAUGUUUUCAUUAA